CUAAGUUAUUAGAGUUAAAUUAUAUUACUAAUAUGUCAUGAAAUAGUCUCUGAAGCUAAUGAAAACUCUUAACUGGGGAGAGUAGCAAUACAUUCAGCAUUUAACCAAACCAAAUGGCAACAGAAAAGUAGAAAAAUAUUCCGUUAGCUAUAUUGGGCUAACGCAUCGCCCAGCAUAAAAUGACAAUGCUCGCAGUUGGCUGUCACUAUCCCCAGCCAUGCAAAGAUAGCAAAAAGCACACAGCGUAACUUUAGCUUUGCAGCUGAUAAUAAUGCAUGCUACUUGCUAUGUUUGUCUACUGAAGCAGAUAAGAAAAUACUGGGGUGAGUUGGUUGUUGCUGAAAAAAAUAUAAAUCUGGGAUACUCACCUCGUGUUUUUGAUGUGUCUUUGAAUAAAACAUGCCCAAGCCGUCUGUGAUUCCAAAAAAGUGGGCUCUGGUAUGUUGAUGUCUGGCUCGUUAAGCAAAUUUCAGCUGGUGAAUAACUUGAUGUGAUUGGUUGAAGCUCCUUAAUGACUGGCCGGAUGAUGAUAACGAAUCUUCACCACUGUUUGGUCUUAUUGCAAGACACACAUUCUCAACAUUUCUGCCCUGUUGGAAUUGGACAGUAGGUCUGCAAACACACGGCUCCUAAACUUAAGAUCAAAAGGCCUGAAGUCCAGGCUGACAGGUUGAAGUCUCGUUAUGAUGGGAGAAUAUUGUCAUUGACAUAGAAAAACAUGAUGUAAUUCUGACUAUUAUUACUUACUUCAUUGGGUAAUGUAGAUUAAAAAAAUGCUGCAAUCGAAUACUGAUUAGAGCAAUCUAUACAAACCUCUAAGACAAAGCCCUGUUAUCCUCUCUAUGAAUCAUCAAUGGUUUCUUCUUGAUACUAAGCUUUUAUAGAUUUUCAGGAAUACCACUCAUUUUGUUUCAUAUAUUCUAGCAAGGGAGAGAAGAACGGAGUGUGUGUAUAAGAAAGGGAGAUAAAAAAGAAGACUUGGAACAGUUUCAGCGCGGCGCAGGUGGUGAGGUAGGCUGGUGGAAUUGUUGUUUUUGAAAUCACGGUGUUGUGGAGCAAUCAACAAAACAACACACCUUAUGUGCAAACAAAUUCAAGAUAUAAUGCACGGAUGUCCUCUACAUUUCAUCAUCAAAGCCCCAUCAGCUUUUGCCGGGUCUGAAGGGGAGAAUAUGAACCGGAUAAAACAAAUCGUUUGAAGUGUGAAAGACAGACACUCCAGCUCCAGAGUACUUAGGCUUCUCCUCCCAAUGGACUGAUGAGAGAAGAGGGUAGGAGCUAGGAAUGAGUGCUCCUCUCUUUUAUUUCCUUCCCCUCUUCCGUUCAUCACAAGGAGUUUCCAAUCCGUUGCAUCAUUGUUUAUGCAAGGUCCCAGUUUCAGUAUUAGCAAUGUCAAUUAAAAAAAGGCAUAAUGAAGUCCAUAUUGACAAACGUCUCAAAAAGGCGGAGCGGUAAAGGAGCGAGGAAGGAAGGAGACGGAGGAAAAGAUAGUGAACAAGAAAUCUAAUGUCUGCCUAUGUGUUCAACCAUGGCAGGAUGAGGAGAAAAUUGUUUGUUUGGCACUGCUUCGAAAAUAUCACAAAAUGUGUCUUAAACUUUCUGUUUUCAAUCUUUUUUUUCCUAGUUACUUUUGCAAAUCAUUUGAUUCACACUCAGUCGUAUUACUGGCUGUAGAAAUCACCGUCGGAACGAAGAUCAUUGUCCCGUUGAAAUAUGGCUUUUUUGUGGCUAUUAUUCAACAUCUUGUAGUGAAACAGAUGGCAGAUUCAAUUUCUUUGUAGAUUUUAAAAUAUUCACCAAGCUGCAAUUAAUUUGUUCAUUGUCGGGCUUGACAAAGGCAUUUUAACUGGUUAAUUUCCCUUCAAAGGAGUAGGAGAGUCUCAAUGAGUUAUGAGCAUGAAUUUGUCUCUCUUCCUUAGUCUUUUAAGAUGAAAGCCCACCCCCCCCUCACACCCUCAAUGUCAAACACCCACCCGACCCUUUUAAAGUGCCGAAUGGGUUGUUAAUAUUAAACGAAUGGUUCUUGUGGAUGGCCGCUAUUCAGAUGUAAACUAUAAACAUAUUCAUUUGAUGAUUGGAGGAGUGAUAUCGGAUGUCAUUUUUUUGUCUAAAAUAAUUCAGCCAAUAAUUAGCUCACUGUCUUAGGUUGGAUUUGGUCAGAGCUCCUGGUUUCCCAUCUGCGGUAUCUCAAAAUGAAAUUUCAUUAUCGGCCUUUAAUAAAAUUCACGAGCAAAAAAUUAACAUAUCUGCAAACACUUGCUAAUGAUGACCAUAGGACCGGAAAGAUGAAGUGAUGAGAUGAGCUUUGUAGGGGCUAUGAGCAUGUUGACCAGAUGCCAAGCCACCUGCUACUCGACUUCGCCGAGAAAACAAGACAGCGCACACUGCAAACAAACAGGAGGAAAAAUAAUUCAAAGUGUGAUAUUAUUAAGAUCAACCAAAAGGUUACAACUAAUUGAUCAAAUAUCUCAACGUUUUGGAAGAAGAAAAAUAUUCCACCGAUAUUUCAUUUCAGGAGGAUUUGUGUUAGAUCUCAGUGAGAGGAAAUUGGCAGACGAUGACCAAACAUGGCACGUCCCAGGUCAUGAAGCUAGUUUAGCAGAAUAUGCUCAUGUGACUGCUAAAACGUACACGGUAUGGGCUUUGACAAAUGGCCAUAGCCAAAAAUAUAAUUAGGCUGUGUCUAUGGUAUCUUUUCUGUCUAGAUUCUUAACUACUGAAAUAAAAAGAGUGGCUUCCCUUUUCAGUCACAUGACUUUUACAUUGUCCUAAAAGUCCCCCCUUGAAUUUCAUGAGGUAACACUGCCUUUCUUUGUAUAGUCACCAGCGUUGGAAAAAAGGUGGAAAAAGAGGGAGAAAGAAAAUUGUACACUAACAGUUUGCAUAUUCCUAUUGAACACUGUGUUUAAAAGUGUUCACCUGAAAACUUUUGGGAGUACACCAUUAGCAAUUCAUGCUGAGUGUAGCCAUCAGAGCGUCAUGGCAGGCAUAACAUGGGGGACAAAUUACCAGCCAGAAAGUGCUGCUUGUAAGACAAGAACAGUAUGUUGGGGUUCUACAAAUGUAACGCAUUUUAUGGCAUCACUUGGAUGUGCCAACUGCUGGGAUAACAACUGUUUGGGUACUUUGAAUGUUUAAAUAUAGUUACAGUGGUAAUGAUUAUCUCACUAAUGCACACGUUUUUAAUCAUUAUUUUAAAAAUAAUUGUAUCUAUUUAGGUUAACAUUAGAGGUAUAUUUAAGUUUUAUAGACUUAUGUAUGAUCUGUUGCCUUUUGGGGCAAUGUUCAGGGUUUAUAGAGUGUAUACCACAUUGUUUGAAAGUUCUUUAUUUGUAUAACCCAAGUUGAAUACGCCACCUAACACCCAAGCAUGAGGGUUUGGAUGGCUUUGACACAAAUAUUUGAAACUUACACAAACUUUGAAAAUGAAAUGUGACUUUUGUGUACAUUUCCAACAACUACAUAAAAAUGGUGAAUUCAUAAAAAUUCAGGUGUCUUUCCUUAUCUUGGGUUCUUUCACUUAGUCUCCAUCUGAGAUGUUAUCUCCCCUAAACUGAUGACCCAGAUAUGCUCAUUUAUUCUAUUCAGGAAGCGAGAGAUUGAUUGUACCUGUGCCAUUCCUGUAAUUAUACUGUCAUCACUUAAUCAACCUUAUUGGAUUCCUCAAGCGGUCGCAGUCCCUGAGGCUGGAGCUGGGAGAAAGAUUGACGGAAAGAGAAUGAUAGGGCGAGUGAGGAAGAGGAUGGGACAAGCAAUGGGUAAUGAGGACAGAGAGGAAUCCAAUAUGAAGACAGUGGUGGACAAAGAGCGCUACAGAUACAAGACAAAGUCAAGGAUGAGUGUGUGGACCAGAGUGAGGCACGCAGAGAUGAUGGGGAAUCAGACGGGAGGGUGCGAACAUAGACGCUGAGUGAUUGUUUCCUCAAGACUGCGUUUGCCCUGUCAGAGAGUAGGUAACAAGCGGUCCGGGUGUGUCCUGCAAAAGCAGCUUUAAUAAUUCAUUUUUCUAUGGGUCUGGGCAGAAAUGGCUUCUUUGAAAAGCAGGGCACAGAUGGUCAUCAGAUUGAAAGAGAUACACUCACACCUCUACACCCACGCACCCACAUACAUGCAAAUGAAAAGGCCUGUAGUGGAGACUGACUCGUCACCCGUGUGCACACCAUAUGCCACGGUGGCUGACAACCUGCUCUCUAGACCCGUUCUAAGAACCGUACACAAGCACAUAUCCAUUGGCACUCACACAAGACCAUUUUCUAAAGGUCCCACUGCAACCACUUAAACAAGAUCCUUUCUUGCAUAGUGAUCUGCACCUCUGUUUGUGUGUGUUGCAAAGAUAAUCAUCUACCAGCUGAUAGAAAUGCCAGUCUUCACCCACACAAGGAGCCACGUCAGCGUGCACAUACCCAAAGUCAAAUACAGAGAAGGCAAGACAGCCAGGUACUCACAGACUCCUAAGGAUGUGAGGAGGAAAGUAAACGGGGCUUGCUGUCUAUCAUUGGGUGAAAUUAACCUCCUUAAUGAUAGCAUUCUCUCUAUUGCCAUUUCACAUCUGACUAAGCCCAGUCGAAACACUGAAUCAGCUCUUAAAAUCUAAUGAUGCAACAUCUACUGUACCAACCAAAACUGCCUUGUACCCUGCCAUCUUGUUAGGACACAUACCUGCAGCCCAGCUAAUAAAACAGCAGCCAACCUUUUAUUCAAUUACUGUACUGACUUUAACGGUUAUAGGGUCUCUUUUUGUGCCUGGCAUGCUUUAUUCCUCUCCCUCUGUGGCCUGCGGGUGAUUACUUUAAGGCAAUACAGUUUUCACUGGGGGUUUCUGUAGUUGGCAGACCUGCAGGAUUCUUAGCUUGAUAAGAUAUCUUUGAGUGAUAUGUUUCAACUAAAAGAAAAAAGGAAACAGGAAUGACCUCAAUAAAACCGUUUCAGUUGUUUUGCUUCAUGUACUAUUCAUUUUAGCCAGCGUAAACAGUGUUUGUUUGUACAUCCUACACUGUAUCAAGAAUAGGCAUGCAAAUAUGAAAACACUUUGUAACAAUUCUAAUAGCAAAAGAAGUUGUUAUCCUGACAAUGAUCUAAAUAACUCAAUAUUUUUGAUAAUAUUUAGUUUAAAAAGAAAUGUAAUGUUCCUUAUUUAAAGAGCUAAUAUUUUAAUUUCAUAUACAUUCAUCUUCAUGAAUUAAAAAACAUUAUGGAUGAUUAUGAAACAGGAUAAAAUUUAGAAUUUAAAUUAUUGUUUUUGACAACAGCAAAAAAAGGAAAAAGCCUUUCGAACCAGCUCCGAUAAUGAAACAACGGCCCCUAGUUUGGGGAGUCCAGGUCUCCUUAAUCAGGAAACAUUUAUUGCCAAAAUAUGUCAAACAUACAAGGAAUUUGUCUUGGCGGUUGGUGCGUGACAGUAGACAGUGUAACAAUAGACAAUAAGACAGCAGUGCACAAGUAAUAAAAUGAAGUAAAAUGAAAUGCUAAUGCAAUGGGUUAGUAGAAUAAGGCUAUGGGUUAGUAUAAAACAAGAGAAUAAAGUUAAAGUUAAGAAUUUAAAAUAUUAAAAAAAGUAAAAAAAUAUCAAGCAUAAAGUGCACUAGCGAACAAGUGACGAGUGACGACUCACGAGUGACGACAAAGUGAAAAGUUACAGUUAAAGUGACAUGUGCUGUAUGAAGGGGAGUGACCGGUGGAAUGUUAUAGUCAUUCAGUGGGGGACCGGGCUCUGUUGAUGAGCCCGACUGCCGACGGGAAGAAACUGUUCGUGUGGCGGGAGGUCUUAGUCCUGAUGGACAUCAGACUCCUGCCAGAUGGAAGCGGCACAAACAGUUUUUGUCUGGGGUGAGAGGGGUUGGCUACGAUGUUUUUAGCUCGCUUCAGAGACCUGGAAGCAAACAAGUCCUGCAGGGACUGCAGAUUGCAGCCGAUCACCCUCUCUGCAGAGCGGAUGACACGCUGCAGCCUGCCCUUGUCCUUGGCUGUGGCUGCAGCGUACCAGACGUUGAUGGAGGAGCAGAGGAUGGACUCGAUGAUGGCCGUGUAGAAGUGGACCAUCAUCGUCUUUGGCAGGUUGAAUUUCUUUAGCUGCCUCAGGAAGAACAACCUCUGCUGAGCCUUCUUUGUGAUGGAGCUGAUGUUCAGCUCCCACUUGAGGUCCUGGGUGAUGAUGGAGCCCAGGAAACGUAAGGAAUCCACAAUAGUGACGGGGGAGUCACACAGGGUAAUGGGGGAAGGUGGGGCUCUGUUCCUCCAGAAAUCCACAACCAUCUCCACUGUCUUUAGAGCAUUGAGCUCCGGGUUGUUCUGGCUGCACCACGACACCAGAUGGUCAGACUGCCACCUGUAGGCGGACUCAUCCCCACCAGAGAUCAGUCCAAUGAGGGUGGUGUCAUCCGCAAACCUCAGGAGCUUGAUGGACUCGUGACUGGAGGUGCAGCUGUUGGUGUACAGGGAGAAGAGCAGAGCUGAAGUCCACAAACAGGAUCCUGGCGUAGGUUCCCGGGGAGUCCAGAUGCUGGAGGAUGUAGUGGAGGGCCAUGUUGACAGCAUCGUCCACAGACCUGUUGGCUCUGUAGGCGAACUGCAGGGGGUCCACGAGGGGGUCAGUGAGGGACUUCAGGUGGGUCAGGACUAGCCGUUCAAAAGACUUCAUGUAGUGAUUGAGUCCUGUGAUCCUGGGCUUCUUGGGAACAGCGAUGAUGGUGGAGGCCUUGAAGCAGGCUGGUACGUGGCAGGUCUCCAGGGAGGUGUUGAAGAUGUCAGUGAACACCGGAGACAUCUGGUCAGCACAAUGCUUCAGGGUAUGGGGGGAAACCGAGUCCGGACCGGCUGCCUUACGGGGAUUUUGUCUUUUAAAGAGCACAUUAACGUCUCUCUCCAGAAUAGAGAGGGUCGUUGCUGGUGGGGGAGGGGAAGGUCAUAUAGAUGUAGAGGCUUGAGCACCUGAUGGGCUGGGGGAGGGAGGGGUGCGGGACUGCAGCAGGUUGGUGGAGCUGUGGGGAAUGGGAUCAGGACAUUCUCUUUCGAAUCUGCAGUAGAACUCAUUCAGCUCGUCUGCCAGGCGGAGGUCAUUCAUGCAGUGGGGUUUUUUUGGCUUGUAGUUAGUGAGGUGUUUGAGGCCUCUCCAAACCAAAGCAGAGUCACUUGCUGAGAACUGUUUCUCAGAGUACAGUCAUUUAGCAUCUCUCACCGAUCUUUGUCCCCACUCCUAAAUGCCUGAUCCUUCCGCAGACGUAGUGUUCCGAGUUCCGCUGUGAACCAGGGUUUGUCGUUGUUGUAACUCACCCUGGUGCAUGAUGGUACACAGCUGUCCCCACAGAAGCCGAUGUAGGAAGUUACAGCCUCUGUGAACUCAUCCAGACUGUCAGUAGCAGUCCUGAAAACAUCCCAGUCUGUGCAGUCAAAGCACGCCCGAAGAUCCUCCAGCGCCUCACUGUCCACUUCUUGAAUUCCCUCACCACAGGUUUGCUUUAGUUUCUGCUUGUAUGCAGGAAUCAGAUGGACCAUGACGUGGUCAGAGUGUCCCAGUGCAGCACGAGGGACGGCGUGAUAAGUCCUGCUUACUGUGGUGUAACAGUGAUCCAGCGUGUUCUCCUCUCUGGUGGGGCAUUUAAUAAACUGUCUGUAUUUAGGUAGUUCAUGGGUGAGAUUACCUUUGUUAAAGUCCCCGAGGACAAUAACUAAAGAGUCCGGGUUGGUCCGCUCCACAUGCCGUAUCUGGUCGGCAAGUGUCCGCUGUGCCUCGUGCACGUUGCCCGCCGGCGGCAUGUAAACACCGACCAGGAUGAAUGAAGCGAACUCACGGGGAAUCCGGUAUCGAUCCUCAGAGCCACGUCUCCGUGGGUUAGAGCCACGUCUCCGUGAAUCACAAAACGGAGGAUGUAGAGAAGUCUCUGUCUCUCCUCACCUGCAGCUGAAUUUCGUCCAGUUUGUUGCACAGUGAGCGCACGUUGGAGAGAAAGAUGCCUGGCAGUGGAGUGCGAGAACCACGCUUGCGGAGUGUCACCAGCGAGCUGGCCCGUUUUCCUCUCCUACGGCGUCUCACCAUGUGAUGAAAGGUGAGCGCACCUUUGACUAUAAUGUCCAGUCAUUCCACGGAAGAUAGCAGGAAAGUUGCAAGUAACUCCGCUGGAGUUGUUCCACGGAUGUUCAAGAGCUCAUCUCUGGUGAAAGAGCUCCGGGAAUCGCAGCAGGAAACUUAAUUAACAACAAAAACAACAAAAAACGAAGCGCACCGAAGCACCGUGGCAGCCAUCAAGGGCGCCAUCUUGGAACAGGAUCUUUUAUGUUGGGAGGAGAGCAGCAAGACAUAAUUUAGAAGAUAAACAAUGCUUUUAUUAAUAAGCCAAAACCUAUAAUACUAUAAAAUAACUGCAAUUAUAUUGACAUCAGGUAAAAAGCCAGCCGUCUGUCCUGGGCUCUUCCAACCUUCAUGGACACCACCGCCUGAAAUAGUGGCUAAUAUACGCCUGGUACAAUUGUAGGUUAUAAAAACAUGCAAAUAAAACAAGCCAUGUUACAGACUACAGCCACCAUUAAUCUGGAUUGCAGCAGGACUAUUGGUCAGGUUAAACAAGGAAUUUAAAAAAAUGAAAAUUGCGGGCUCUAAGAUAAAAAAAAAAAAGAAUUUUUUUUUUUGAGACAGCCAAGAUUAGCGCAAAAAUUCCCCAAAUUAGCUUUUCUAGUUGUCCUUUUUUGUUGUUUCUUUUGCUUGCAUUCUAGUCUGACAUCAAUUGUCAUGAACAAGCGCUUAGUUUCAUAUGCCUGCGCUACAUGGGCAACUUGACUUGAACAAUCAGACUGGAUCGAUGUGGCAAAAAAUUGCUAAUAUAGGUACAAGGUUAGGAGAAUGAGGAGGAAGAAUGUGCCACAGCCGUCACAAUCAGCAGUGUCAAGCAAUCACUCGGGAGUUAAAAAAAAGCAAAAAUGUGUAAUGUGGAGGAGACCAGGGAGAGGAGUGAAAGAUGAGUCGGCCAAAGUAGGGAGGAUUGGAAGAAUGCACGGAUUACAUGAUUUCAGAAGGAUAAGACCAUGAGCCCGAUGAGCCUUAAAUGGGACGCAAUACAAAAGCAGGAGAAGAGAAUGUAUUUGAAUGGGACUCAAUAGGAGGCAGAGCGUGCAGCAGGAAAACAGUAGGCAGGUGGUGGUUAGCGGCAGAAAAAGAGGGCUUGGUAAGUGUGCAAGAUUGAUCGGUGAUUGCGCUUGGAAUUUGUGGCACUGAGUGUAGAAGCAAUAAAGAGCAAGAGAGUUGUAAAGACGAGGGAAUAUAAACUCCCAGAUGCCAGGUAUGUUUCCUACUGGGACGGGCGAGACGACAGGAGUCUAAUGAGUUCCCUCAUAGCCAGGCGGGUUUCAUCUUAUGAAUCAAACAAACAGUCUUACACACACCUUCGCACAAAGGCUCACAUAGCUGUAAUGAAUUACAGAGCUGGCAGCCUUAAACCUUGGCCUUGCACCUUAUCACACAAUAAACGCAUACAUCAUUUUGCUGGGCCGAUCGAUCCCUACACAACCAUUUGACACAAAUACACAUGGAAUCAAAGGGCCAGUGACAUAUUCCAUCACCUGUUGUAUCCUUGAAACCCUUCCACCAGCCUCCACAUUUUCUCACACAAUGGACAACAAUAUAUUGAAACAUUCAUGUCCCACUAUUUGUCUUGCAAAGGUUAAAUCUCAAAGACGCUUGAGCUAUAGGAAUGUGUGUAGAGGGUGUGUGUCAGCGCUCUCCCACGCUCUGACAGAGUGGAGAACACCAGAACAUCAGGAGACAACAACCUGCUCAGACAAAAGCAUCUCACUAGUGAGCGUAAGAGCAUCACACCAGUAAAC
Long non-coding RNA from Gasterosteus aculeatus aculeatus (three-spined stickleback), 9813 nucleotides. The record is from Ensembl. NCBI's taxonomy places the organism in Eukaryota, Metazoa, Chordata, Actinopteri, Perciformes, Gasterosteidae.